GACGAACGCUGGCGGCGUGCUUAACACAUGCAAGUCGAGCGGUAAGGCCCUUUCGGGGGUACACGAGCGGCGAACGGGUGAGUAACACGUGGGUGACCUGCCCUUAGCUCUGGGAUAAAGCCUGGGAAACUGGGUCUAAUACCGGAUAUGACUCCAUAACGCAUGUUGUGGGGUGGAAAGCCUUGUGCGGCUAGGGAUGGGCCCGCGGCCUAUCAGCUUGUUGGUGGGGUGAUGGCCUACCAAGGCGACGACGGGUAGCCGGCCUGAGAGGGCGACCGGCCACGCUGGGACUGAGACACGGCCCAGACUCCUACGGGA
Molecule: ribosomal RNA, 318 nt
Filed under: uncultured bacterium
Lineage: Bacteria
Description: bacterial SSU rRNA
Rfam family: Bacterial small subunit ribosomal RNA
Source: RNAcentral